RNAcentral lists this ribosomal RNA (497 nucleotides) under uncultured bacterium. RNAcentral's name for it is "partial 16S ribosomal RNA". It matches the Rfam family "Bacterial small subunit ribosomal RNA", at positions 28 to 507 of the family's 1533-position model. The record is from RNAcentral.
GAUGAACGCUGGCGGCGUGCCUAAUACAUGCAAGUCGAGCGAACAGACGAGGAGCUUGCUCCUCUGACGUUAGCGGCGGCCGGGUGAGUAACACGUGGAUAACCUACCUAUAAGACUGGGAUAACUUCGGGAAACCGGAGCUAAUACCGGAUAAUAUAUUGAACCGCAUGGUUCAAUAGUGAAAGACGGUUUUGCUGUCACUUAUAGAUGGAUCCGCGCCGCAUUAGCUAGUUGGUAAGGUAACGGCUUACCAAGGCAACGAUGCGUAGCCGACCUGAGAGGGUGAUCGGCCACACUGGAACUGAGACACGGUCCAGACUCCUACGGGAGGCAGCAGUAGGGAAUCUUCCGCAAUGGGCGAAAGCUUGACGGAGCAACGCCGCGUGAGUGAGGAAGGUCUUCGGAUCGUAAAACUCUGUUAUUAGGGAAGAACAAAUGUGUAAGUAACUAUGCACGUCUUGACGGUACCUAAUCAGAAGGCCACGGCUAACUACGUG